This 72-nucleotide antisense RNA is filed under the name Micromonospora echinofusca. Its description in RNAcentral is "ASpks TB sRNA". It matches the Rfam family "ASpks TB sRNA". The record is from Rfam by way of RNAcentral. Lineage: Bacteria; Bacillati; Actinomycetota; Actinomycetes; Micromonosporales; Micromonosporaceae.
CUUGAUCGAGCCGACCCAGAGCGGCUGCUCGCCCCGGUCGCGGCCGUACGUCGCGAUGAGCGACCGGGCCUC